This 403-nucleotide ribosomal RNA is filed under the name uncultured bacterium. RNAcentral describes it as "partial 16S ribosomal RNA". It matches the Rfam family "Bacterial small subunit ribosomal RNA", at positions 28 to 527 of the family's 1533-position model. The record is from RNAcentral.
GACGAACGCUGGCGGCGUGCCUAAUACAUGCAAGUCGAACGCAGUGGGGACGGUUGAGUAACACGUGGGUAACCUCCCGUCAGAGGGGAUAACACUUGGAAACAGGUGCUAAACCGAUACGGGUGGAUGGACCCGCGGUGCAUUAGCUAGUUGGUGCGGUAACGGCCCACCAAGGCCACGAUCCAUAGCCGGCCUGAGAGGGUGAGCGGCCACACUGUGACUGAGACACGGCCCAGACUCCUACGGGAGGCAGCAGUGGGGAAUCUUCGGCAAUGGACGAAAGUCUGACCGAGCAACGCCGUGUGAGUGAAGAAGGUUUUCGGAUCUUAAAACUCUGUCGUUAGAGAAGCGGUAUCUAACCAGAAAGCCACGGCUAACUACGUGCCAGCAGCCGCGGUAAUUG